GGAGCCGUGGCCGAGAGGACGAUGGCGCUGCUUUGCUAAAGCAGAUCGGGUCACACCGACGGGGGUUCGAAUCCCUCCGGCUCCG
This 85-nucleotide transfer RNA is filed under the name Actinoplanes awajinensis subsp. mycoplanecinus. It matches the Rfam family "tRNA". From Rfam's summary of the family: Transfer RNA (tRNA) molecules are approximately 80 nucleotides in length. Their secondary structure includes four short double-helical elements and three loops (D, anti-codon, and T loops). Lineage: Bacteria; Bacillati; Actinomycetota; Actinomycetes; Micromonosporales; Micromonosporaceae. The record is from Rfam by way of RNAcentral.